GGGACGGGCCGGGGCCGAUGAGAGGGCAGCGGCAGAUGGGGCGAGGCUCCACGGAUCAGCGAAGUGAUUCCCGCGAUUGUUACCCAGACGCUGUCCGGGGGAAAAGAGAGCCGUCCCCCUCCUGAAGCCGUGUGCGCUGUGAAACACAGGAAAGCAAUUUGCCGGCGCGAAGCCUCGGGAAGCCCCGGCCAUGCGAUGCGGCUCUCCGCUGCGCUGCCCCGCGGCGGCCGGGCCCGCUGCGCCCUGCCCGUGCCCGCCCCGCGCCCGCGCUGCGCCGGCCGGGCCCCUCGGAACCCACAGCUCCCGGCGCUCAGAGCGUGCCGCACACGUGAGCCAGCUGGCGACGCAAAAUCAGCCCCUC
This is a long non-coding RNA of Poecile atricapillus (Black-capped chickadee), 361 nucleotides long. RefSeq lists it as uncharacterized. Lineage: Eukaryota; Metazoa; Chordata; Aves; Passeriformes; Paridae. The record is from RefSeq and is a predicted model, not a curated record. The transcript is spliced from 3 exons.